RNAcentral lists this ribosomal RNA (274 nucleotides) under uncultured bacterium. Its description in RNAcentral is "partial 16S ribosomal RNA". It matches the Rfam family "Bacterial small subunit ribosomal RNA", at positions 523 to 796 of the family's 1533-position model. The record is from RNAcentral.
AUACGGAGGGGGCUAGCGUUGUUCGGAAUUACUGGGCGUAAAGCGUACGUAGGCGGACUGAUCAGUUGGGGGUGAAAUCCCGGGGCUCAACCCCGGAACUGCCUCCAAAACUUCCAAUCUAGAGAUCGAGAGAGGUGAGUGGGAUUCCAAGUGUAGAGGUGAAAUUCGUAGAUAUUUGGAGGAACACCAGUGGCGAAGGCGGCUCACUGGCUCGAUACUGACGCUGGGGUACGAAAGCGUGGGGAGCAAACAGGAUUAGAAACCCUUGUAGUCC